UGAGACUAUUGAUGGAAACUUUGUCAGUUCUCAAACGAGAGCUCUAGUUUCUAUCCAGUCCAAACUCUCUAAUUCCACAUAAAUCCUCUUGCUCUCUUCUUCUUUUUCCACCUCCUAUUCUUGAGAGUCGAACUAACUUAAGCAUAAGAAGAUCAAGAAUCGAAGGAUCUUUAUUGAUUUUUGACUUAUUUUGUGAAUUUUUUUGAAGCCA
This 211-nucleotide long non-coding RNA is filed under the name Elaeis guineensis (African oil palm). RNAcentral's name for it is "long non-coding RNA (EGUI_LNC008347)". Lineage: Eukaryota; Viridiplantae; Streptophyta; Magnoliopsida; Arecales; Arecaceae. The record is from RNAcentral.